AGUGAACGCUGGCGGUAGGCCUAACACAUGCAAGUCGAACGGCAGCACAGUAAGAGCUUGCUCUUACGGGUGGCGAGUGGCGGGCGGGUGAGGAGUACAUCGCAAUCUACUUUUUCGUGGGGGAUAACGUAGGGAAACUUACGCUAAUACCGCAUACGACCUACGGGUGAAAGCAGGGGAUCUUCGGCCCUUGCGCGAUUGAAUGAGCCGAUGUCGGAUUAGCUAGUUGGCGGGGUAAAGGCCCACCAAGGCGACGAUCCGUAGCUGGUCUGAGAGGAUGAUCAGCCACACUGGAACUGAGACACGGUCCAGACUCCUACGGGAGGCAGCAGUGGGGAAUAUUGGACAAUGGGCGCAAGCCUGAUCCAGCCAUGCCGCGUGGGUGAAGAAGGCCUUCGGGUUGUAAAGCCCUUUUGUUGGGAAAGAAAAGCAGCCGGCUAAUACCCCGCUGUUCUGACGGUACCCAAAGAAUAAGCACCGGCUAACUUCGUG
RNAcentral lists this ribosomal RNA (492 nucleotides) under uncultured bacterium. Its description in RNAcentral is "partial 16S ribosomal RNA". It matches the Rfam family "Bacterial small subunit ribosomal RNA", at positions 29 to 507 of the family's 1533-position model. The record is from RNAcentral.